UUGUAAGGGCAGGAAAUGCUGUGUGAUUCUGGAUCUGGCUAUGGCAAGCUGACCUUUGGCUCAGGGACCAGACUCUCCAUCCAGCCCAAAGUCACUCCAUCUCCCUCAGUCUACAGGCUGACCUCCAAGGAUGCCCAGGGUCUGGAAAUGUGCCUCAUCACAGAUUACUCCCCCGAGCAGCUGACUCUGAGCUCAGCUGAGCAGCACACCUCUGCUGUGGUGGGGGUGGCCACUGCAGAGAGCAGUGAGGAGUCCAGCUACCUGAGCACCUACUGGGCCAGGAGGGAGCAGCUGCACUGUGCUGCCAGCCACGAGGGCUUUGGAGAGCUGGAGGGAGAGGACCCUGAGAGUGGUGCCAGUGCUGUCUGUGUCACAGGGCUGUCCCUCCACUUCAGGACAGAUGAACACUUGAACACCCUGUCUUUGUCACAGCUGGGCCUCAAAAUCGUUUUAAUGAAAGCAGUCAUCUUUAAUGUGCUGAUGUCAGUGCUUGUGUGGAAGAAAAAAAAGGACUGAGAGGAACCAGCUGGUGCAGUCCUGAAGUACCAAACCCAUCAGCUUUGAGAGAGCAUCGUGGGCAAGAAGGAGCUCGGGGAAAUUCCUUGUGCAAGGGACAUCCCCUGCUGCUCCUACACAUCACACCAGCCAUUAGAUUCUAAAUUGCUUUCUUUGCAUUGCUAUAAAACUGCUCAAAAUGAAACAUUUCCAACGCUCUGCCCUCCAGAUGUCUGGGUCAUUGACCACACUGUGCCUCUUUUGCACGAAGCACACUUUGUUAUAAUUAUACAUUGCCAUUAAAAUGACAGCUUCUGCCUGGAGCAGUGCUGGGUGUUAAAAACUGCAAGCUAAAUAUCAUCUGAAUGGGAGAUUUGCCUAUUUUGGUAGCUUUAGGGUAUUCAUAUCUCAGGGUGCACCCCCAGAAACCUUUCCAGGUGCAAAUGAAACACUUGGAAAAGUGAAGGGAGGCUGACUCAGGAUGCACUGUCUUGUCACCCUUUGCUAGAUCACAGCAAAAUGUCCCUUUUUUUCCCUAAAGGGUGAGCUGCAGGUCUCCCAGAAGUCCCAAAUUCAGUGAAAUUGUCACUUCAAUAUCAAAAAAAAAAAAAAAAAAAGAAAAAAAAAGAAAAAAAAUAUUUUUUUAAGUCUGCCUGACCAUAACACCUUCUUAAUUUAAACCACUUUAACAUUUGGCUUUAUAUUCAGUAAAAAUACAAACCACUUUUGUUCUUUUUGUUUACUUCUAACAACCUGAGAUCUCCCAAGUUCUUUUUGUAACAAUUGCAUAAAAAUGUACUGAAAUAUUUACCUGUGCUUGCCUGUGGCAUCUGCAUGCUGCUAAUUCAUGAACUGUCCUGGCACCCAUGGGAUGUAUUGGCAUUUCUUUAGGCUGUUAUCAAACAAUUCUUACAAAAAAUGAGAAA
This is a non-coding RNA of Serinus canaria (Common canary), 1421 nucleotides long. Lineage: Eukaryota; Metazoa; Chordata; Aves; Passeriformes; Fringillidae. The record is from the annotation of a RefSeq genome assembly.